This 10220-nucleotide long non-coding RNA is filed under the name Gossypium barbadense (sea-island cotton). RNAcentral's name for it is "long non-coding RNA (GBAR_LNC017273)". Lineage: Eukaryota; Viridiplantae; Streptophyta; Magnoliopsida; Malvales; Malvaceae. The record is from RNAcentral.
AAAAUUAUGCUCAUGCGAAACUCAAGGCUGGCCAUGGAUCCUAACAUUCAAGCUAAACAUCUCAGCAUGAUCUAGUUUGCAAGGCCCCAUUAUACUAUCUGCUGUUAUAUCCAAAUAACAAGAAUUAUGUCCUGUAUCUUUUUAUUUUUUAGUCUUCAAGCAAAGUCAUCAGAAUUUUUAAAAAACAAGUUCAAACACAGUUUUUUAAAAAAAACAAAUAAAACAAAACCUAUUCGUGAUUUUGGGAGGUUUUUUUUGGUAGUGGUUGAGGUUCGAAUUGUAGUCUCAUGUCGAGGUUUGAUUGGUAUGGCGGUUGCCUCGAUUUUUGCAGAAUCUUUUGCUAUGGCAGGUGUACAAGCCCAAAUAUGCCGGGGCCCAAGAAAAUAAAUAUGCCCAAACAUGCCCAACCCACUAAACCUGGCCCAAACAAAAAACAAAAUAACAGAAACCCUAGGAGCCUAUUUGCUUCAGCACUGCCGCAACUCACCCUCGCACACUGCCGCGAAUCUCGCGCCACGACCCUCCCCAACAUGCACCGCUCCAUGCGCUAGCAAUACCUACAGCAACAAACGCAAAACAAAACAUCAAAAAAAAUGGAACAAAAACAACAAUAUGCCAACGAAAAAUAGGAGAUUUCUUUGGAUUUGGGUUCAUUUUUUCCCAUUUUCGGCUAUUUAAAGCCAUUAUCGAAUCUGUAAAAAGGAGGGGGAUUACAGUUUAGAUACGAAAAACAGAGAGAAAAUAGAGAUUUACUUAUUGAUUUCCGAAUACAAAAGGUGGUUUUUUUGGAGUUUUUUUAUUCCUAGUUUCGUUUUGUUUUCUUUUUUCUCUUUUAGUUUUUUUAUUUUAUUUUAUUUUUCAUUUAAAACAAAGAAAGGAAAAGACUUACCUGGUCGCCGGAGUUGUCGAGCCAGUGUCUUCUCCGGCGAAAUCGGGGCAUGGGGCACUAGGCUCGAACGGUGGCGCAAUGAGGGAGGGGGUUAAAAAAACCCCUAGCAGACCACUGUUCUUUAACACAAAAAAAACAAGCAGAAUUUUUUUUUAAGGUUUUGGCUAACUUAAAGAAGAAACGAAAACGGCGUAGUUUUGCCUAUACCAUCCGCCUUUUUAUUUUCAAUGGACUAUUUCUGCAAUUAGUCCUUCGGAUUUUAUGGUGUUUUUAAACUGUUUUUUUAUUUCUUUCAAAUUUUACUUCACAUUUUAUUUUUGUUUCAAAUUAAUCCCCAUUGCUACGAGCGUUUUAGGAAGGCAGAUUAUUUCUAUUUUAGCCCCCUCAUUUAACGCAAGCAUUGCAAAUUAGUCCUUCGUUUUGUUAAUUUCCGUUUUUUUUAAUUCGUUUUUUACUAUUAUUAUCACUAUUAUAUUAUAUAUAUUAUCAUUAUUACAAAUUAUUAUCUCUAUAUUCGUUCACAUGCAUAAUUUUUAUAUAAUGUAUAUACAUAUGCAUUUUUUCUUAUAGUCUUCACGCAUUGUUUUUAUAUAAUAUAUAUGCAUUCUUAUAUAUAUACUACCCGUUUAUUCGUACAUAUAUUUUUAUACAUAUGCUUUAUAUUUCAUUUUCCUAACUUUUAUAUAUAUAUACUUUUAUAUUUUAGUUUCAAUUUUGUAUUUUUUUAUUUUGUAAAUAUAUAUACAUAUACAUACAUUUUUUUAACUUUUAUAUACUUAAUAUUAUAUAUAUAUGCUUUAUACAUUUCUAUUAUUUUUAAAUAUAUACACAAAUACAUAUUUUUAUAUUUUUAUCUUACUUUCAGAAUUUUCAUGUGUACACAUACAUGUAUUUUCUUUGUAAAAUAAACAUGCAUAUUUUCUUAGAAGUUAUUAUAAGUUUUACAUAUUUCAUUUUUUUUAAGUAUACUGUAUGUGUUUUAAUAUGCAUACACGUAUUUCCAAAUUUACUUACAUGUUGUACUUAUUUAUGUACAUAUACAUAUGUUGUAAAUAUAUAUAUUUAGCUGACGUUAAAGUAUUUGUUUUAUGAGGUAUAUUAACUUUUUAUCAUUUUUUUUGAAAAAAAAAGGGAAAAUAUAUUUGGUUUUGUCAAAACAUCAAAAUCAUUUUCUCUUGACAAAGUUUUUUGAAUAAAAGCAAUAUUCAAAGUUUGGGAUUUUCAAGAAAAAUUGAGCCCUAACGUAUUGGGUUCUGAUUUUCUUUGAUGAUCUUAAAUGGCCGAGGAUAUUCUUUAUUCAAAAUGCAUGAGUAUAAAAAUCAUUUUUGGGAACUUAACUUGUUGUGUCCUAACGUAUUGGGUGUGGCAUGUUACCUUCUCAAAAUGAAGAUUUUCACAUAAAAUAAAAGUGAUAUUCAAAGUUCGGGGAUUUUGAGGAAUUGUACCCUAACGUAUUGGGACUCGAUUUCUUUACAUGACUUGAACAAUUGAUUAUCCUUUUUCAAAUUUCAUCAUUUGAGUUGAUUUCAAAAUCUUUUUAACCUUCGACACUAAGACAUUAAAUGGUCAAUAUGGUACCGAUUUUGGGCGUUACGAGGGUGCUAACCCUUCCUCGUGCGUAACUGACUCCCGAACUCGUUUCUUCAAAAUUCGUAGACCAAAAUAAUUUUUAAGGUGAGCCGAUCACACCUUAAUAAAAGAUCGAUGGCGACUCCAGUUUUAUCUUUAAAGUCGAUAACUAAAUUUUUGUUUUCAAAAAACGGUUUCGGCAGCUUGGCGACUCCACUGGGGACAUUUGAGAGUCGAGCCAUGAAUUGAUUAUGCUUUGUCUUUUUGUCGAAAGUCAAUUUUUUUUAAAAAAUCAUGAUUUCCUUUUGCAUUUAUUGAUUUUCAUCAUUUGCAUGAUUGAAUCAAGUUGGUUGAUCUGUAUUUGCAUUUUGCAUUGCAUGGUCAAUGUUGCCCCUUUAAGUGGGAGCGAGAAACUAGUCCUUCGUGAGGUUUUCACCUCUGUGCAGGGUAGUGGACCGCUUCCGGGAUACAUCCGUACCUAUGUCUUCGUGAGAUUUUCAUCUCCGUGCAGCCAUAGGGAAAUGUAUCCCCCUGAACUGAACUCGAUCCACAUGAGCCUAUAAUGGGUGAGGAUCGAGGAAUCUGAUGGUUCGGGUACCCUUACUCUAGAAAAUAACCCUCAUAUAGUAAACCUUAGGAACUUACCCUAGGUAGAGCUAUACCAAACCCUAGAGGGGUCCUGAAUAGGUGCUUUUAUAAUUUCCUGUGUACAUUGAAUUAUGAUUUUAUGCAUGAUACUGACUUUUUGUGUUUCACUUUGACUGCAUAGCAUUUAGACUGCAUGGCAUUUCGUUAUAGAAAAGAGAUGUUGAUUCAUGUUUGGUUGUUAAAUAGAGAACUUACCACAGAAAACGGGUUUCUUGAUAAGGUGGAAGAUAAUACGGUUGUCCGAGUAUAGUCUAAGAAAGCAUGACACGAAAAAACCUAACAAGAGGAGUAUACGACUUUGCUGCAUGACCAGAGGAUUCAAAUUGCCAAAGAUUAUUCAAAAGUCAUCAAAGGUUUCAACCUCUUAAAGAAGAUAAUGAACAGAGAGUUACGACCUAGAUCAAACAAGAAGGAGCUCAAAUUUGCGAGAUACAUCUUAAUACCUGAAUGGUCGAUGUCUUUGUUUGGAGUACGAGGGUGAAGCCGUAUAUAUAUAUCCGCUUUGUGUAAAAAUAUUUGUUUUCUAGCGAAGUUUUUCUAGUAAAGAAUUGAACCAGAAUCAACGUCUCUUUUUGCAUUCAUGCAUUUGCAUUUCAUUACAUCAUAUGCAUUAGACACCGUUAAAUGAUCCUAAUUAACUAAAAUCAUUGCUCAAUUAACUUGGAAACCAACCAACCGACCAAGCACCGUUACGGCACUCGAGCAAAGAUUAAGGAUAUAGAUCAGAGAUUGAAAAAACUCAAACAGUGUCAGAAGGAGAUGCAAGACCGACUUUAGCUACAGGUAGAGCGGUUAGAUAAGAUGAAACAAGAGAUGUCUGAGAAGAUGCGAGAAUCCCAAGAAGAUAUAGUGGCAAAGUUAACCCAACUGAUAACUAGGGGAAGUGAUAAAGGAAAGGGCCCCAUGGCAAGUAUCGAUGAGGAAAAUGAUGAUGAACCUCUCUAUCCUCUAGGUUUCACCCCUCCACAUGUGUGAACUCAAGCUGAAUACCCACACAAAUCAACUGUCACCAUCAUGCCUCAGCAGUUUCUGGCUGGUAUUUCAAACUUCCAAACUGGGCCGAGUUCUAAUCCUGAAAAUAAUCCUGUUAACUCUGCCAAUCCUGACUUUGAUGAAGUGGUUGAGAAGGAAAGAAUGAAGGAGGAGUUAUCGAAACAGUUAGAAGAAAUGUGUAGGUGGCUCGAGGAGAAGUUCAAGGCGAUGGAGGUCACUGAGGGUUAUCGAGGCAUUGACGCAAAAAAGCUGAGUUUAGUUCCAGAUUUGGUACUUCCUCACAAGUUCAAGAUGCCAGAAUUUGAGAAGUACAAUGGGACGACUUUCCCAGAGGCUCAUAUCACCAUGUUCUGCAGGCGAAUGGUUGGAUACGUUAACAAUGACCAGCUAUUAAUACACUGUUUCCAAGAUAGCCUAGCAGGGGCAGCAUCUAAGUGGUACAAUCAGCUGAGCCGUACCACGAUUGGUUCAUGGAGGGACCUGGCACAAGCAUUCAUGAAACAAUAUAGUCAUGUGACAGACAUGGCUCCUGAUAGAAUCACCCUUCAGAACAUAGAGAAGAAGCCGAGCGAAAGCUUUAGGCAGUAUGCGCAGAGAUGGAGGGAGGUCGCAGUCCAAGUUCAGCCACCGCUCCUGGAAAAGGAAAUGACCAUGUUGUUCAUUAACACCCUGAAGGCACCGUUCAUUACACAUAUGUUAGGAAGUGCCACAAAAAGGUUUCCUGACAUAGUCAUGAAUGGCGAGAUGAUUGAGAACGCCAUCAGGAGUGGGAAGAUUGAGGCUGGAGAGAGUAACAAGAGAUCAGUCUCAAGGAGAAGAGAAAAUGAGGUGAACAACACAAGUUACUCUAAAUCAGUUACUGUAAGUCAUCCAGGAAAGGGGGUUGCUAGUCAACAAAGUUCAUUGAGACAGGAAUCUGGAGUGAAACCAGGUACUGAGAAGCUCCAGUUUACACCAAUUCCGAUGUCGUAUAAGGAGCUGUACCAAAGCUUAUUCGAUGCACACGUUGUUUCUCCUUCCUACUUAAAACCCCCACAACCUCCGUAUCCCAAGUGGUAUGAUGCGAAUGCACAAUGUGACUACCAUGCGGGAAUUACAGGGCACUCAAUCGAGAAUUGCAUUACCUUCAAAAAGCUAGUCGAAAAACUCAUCAACAUGAAUGUUGUCAAGCUUGAUGACUCAUCUAGUGCAAAAAAAUCCGCAUCCUAAUCAGGAUUGACAAUAGGGUGGAUGCAAUAUAUGAAGAGGUGUUGGGAGGUGUUCACAUCAGGGACCUAUACAAUAAACAACUAAAGAAGGGACCUUGUCAGAUAUUCGCCCUUGUAAACCUGAGAGUGUUCUAAAUAAUUGGACUGCAGAAGAAACUCUGUAGUAUUUAGAUUUUGUUAGAGCAAUUUUCAGAACACACUUGUUGCUUUCAGCCUAGAAGCAAUAAGAAUUUCUUUGUGAGAUAGGCUCACGUCUAAAAAUUAUUAUUUUAAUGAAAUACAUUAUUGCAAUCAUCUUUGAGCAAAUGUUCUUUCAUUCUUUACGUUUUUUCCAUUCUUUCAAUUUUUUUUUCUGCCAGAUUAUUCAUUCAUUUAUUCAUAUUACCCAUACAUUCUUUCGUAUAUUCUUCGGUACCCACUAUGGGUCCCCAAAUAUCAAUGACAUGAGUGAUGCAGCAACAGACCCAGAAUCUCCUUUUGAGUGAGACAUGUGUUUAGAAGGAUCUCACAACUUUGAAGAUGACAUAAAUUGUAGCUUAUUUCUGGACUUAUUAAGGAUGGUAGAGCAGGAAGGAAAUUUUACCUCAUGAGGAGUCAAUAGAAACUGUGACCUUGAGGGAACAUGCAUGACCGAAAAAGUAAUACGUUGUUGGGUUACUUCAAGCAUUCAAAGAUGCCUUCGCAUGGUGAUACCAGGAUGUACCCGGUUUAAGCACCGUCAUUGCAAUCUGAACAACAGCACGAUAUCAAAAAUUUGCAGUAUGUUCAAGAUUAAUAUCAUGAAUGAUGCAGUGAAAACUCUACCGGAGCAGUGCCUCUCUCUUUAGUUCAUCACGGUUUUUUCUAUUGAAGUUGAAAUUCUUUCUCUCCGGGUAUUGGCUGAGCAAGUUAGAUGAAGCAGAAUAGAUCCGAUCGCAAUGUGAUCAAUUGAACUUGAUAGAAGAAAGAAGGCUAAAAGCUAUUCAUCACGGUCAGAUGUGCCAGAAAUGAAUGAUGCGAGCCUAUAACAAAAGGUUUAUCCUAGAGAAUUCCACGAGGGUGACCAAAUGUUGAAGAUCCUCCAUCUGCAAAAAAUAUUAUGGAGGGAAACGGAUGCCAAAUUGGGUGGAACCUUAUGAUUAUAGAGAAGGUUUUUUUCCAAAGAAGCUUUGAUUUUGAGUGAGAUGGAUGAUAAACCUGUAAAGUCUUGUAAACUCAGACUCAGUUAGGAAAUUCUCCACCUAAAGAAGGAGAAGGCCAAGGUAAAAACCCGCAAAGGGAAGUUUGAAUCCAAAAAAAAAAAGAAAAAAAGUGAUGUGGAAAAUGAAAAGAUGAAAAUGAAAAAUGAAAUUGUAAAAACGGAGAGGCUAAGAUGAAAACCCGCAAAGGGCGCCUUAGACCAAAGGGGAUUUGAGUUGAAAACCCAAAAAGGGCGGCUCAAAUAUUGAUCAGAAUGGGACAUGAGAUUAUCGGAGCAGUUCAAAUACUGAUCAGAGUGGGGCAUGCAGUGGUCUUGCUAUACCUGAAUUUCAAUAGGAAAGGGUAAGAGACAUCUUGGGGCAUCGACAAAGUACUAUAGAUCUCCUAAACACAUGUUAAACUCAGAAUGGUCUUCAGAGAGUCUGUACAGAGAAGUUCAAACUGCGAUAUCUGGGGCACCUAAUCCUUAUACCAUUUUUGUUAUUCUUGGAACACUUCAUUCAUUGCCAAGAUAUGCAUUCCUAAAUCAUUUUCUUUAUUAUCCAUCUUUAUUAUCUUUGAGAAUCUAUUCAUUUCAGAGUCAUGCUCUAAAUCAAUUCUAUUCCUACCCAUUGUUAUGAUCUCUUGCAAGCGUGUUGCAUUAGAAUAAUUAUCAAUAGACUAAUAAAACUUUCACAAGGGAAGUUUUGCAUAUUACUCUAGAAGUUUCUGAAUAAUAUAGGAACCUCAAACAUGACUAUUGUUUAGAACGCACCAGGUUGGAAAUCUGAUAAAGAAGAGUCUAAAUUAAGACUAUCCCUUUGAAUUUUCUUGUCUAAAGUAUUAAUUGAACAAAAUGGCAGGAUGUCAUUUUGGUGACAAAGCUUCAAUGAACAAGCAAGCAAUGAUUACCGAGUAAUAUGAAGAAGUUGUUCUUGGAGAAGAUUUCUUCAUUUGUGCAUGAGCAUUUGGUACAACACCUUGGGAAUGGUGUAAGAGACCAAAAAGUUUCACAUCCUGUAUCCUUGAAUUGUGAUAGCAGAUGAUUGAGAAAAGGCCGAAUCUUUUUACUCUUGGGUUACAACAGGAGAAAGAUGGUACAUAUUUUGCAUCCCAGUGGAUCAAACUUGGAGGUUUACAGUGGGGGGCAAUCUGGUUAAGUGUUUUUCGGAGAUGCUAGCUGAGCAAGAAUGUGUUAUAGCUCAUUAGUGAGGAAACCUUAAUAAACUUGGAGUAAUAAUAACUCAAACGUUAAAAUAUCAUUUUCAUGACAUUCUGCAUUCAUGCAAACACCAUUCACAUCUGUCUAGUUAGGAGCAUUUGAUUUAUUUUGAUCAUGUCAUCCUAAUCAUUAGGCAUAAUUAGGUUCAUUAUACAGGUCAUGUUCCCCAGAGAACAGAUCAGUGAUGAUAACAGAUAUUGUCUUCCUGUAUCGAAAGUGAAACAGAUCGAAGACACCAACGUCGCCUCCCUCGGAGACAGUGGAGCAGGUUGAAGAUAGCAGAUCUUGCCUUCCUGCAUAGACAGCGAAGCAGAUCGAAGAUGGUGAAUUUUACCUCCCUAUGGUUACAGUAGAGUACAUUGAAGCCAGUAAUUCUACUUCCCUAGGCAGCAGUGGAAUAGAUUGAAGAUUUCAGAUCUUGUCUCCCUAAGCAGUAGUGGAGCAGAUCGAAUGUGGCAGAUUUUACCUCCUUGUGGUUACAGUGGAGUACAAUGAAGCCAGCAAUUCUACUUCCCUGAGUAGCAGUGGAAUAGAUUUCAGAUCUUACCUCCCUAAGCAGUAGUGGAGCAGAUCAAAGAUGACAGAUUUUACCUCCCUGAGGUUACAGUGGAGUACAUUGAAGCUAGUAAUUCUAUCUCCCUGGGCAGCAAUGGAAUAGAUUGAAGAUUUCAGAUAUUACCUCCCUAAGCAGUAGUGGAGCAGAUCAAGGAUGGCGGAUUUUACCUCCUUGAGGUUGCAGUGGAGUACAUUGAAGCCAGUAAUUCUACUUCCCUGGGCAGCAGUGGAAUAGAUUAAAGAUUUCAGAUCUUGUCUCCCUAAGCAGUAGUGGGGCAGAUCAAAGAUGGUGAAUUUUACCUUCCUGUGGUUACAGUGGAGUACAUUGAAGCCAGUAAUUCUAUCUCCCUAGGCAGCAGUGGAAUAGAUUGAAGAUUUCAGAUCUUACCUCCCUAAGCAGUAGUGGAGCAGAUCAAAGAUGGCAGAUUUUACCUCCCUGAGGUUACAGUGGAGUACAUUGAAGCCAGUAAUUCUAUCUCCCAGGGCAGCAGUGGAAUAGAUUGAAGAUUUCAGAUCUUACCUCACUAAGCAGUAGUGGAGCAGAUCAAGGAUGGUGGAUUUUACCUCCCUGAGGUUGCAGUGGAGUAGAUUGAAGCCAGUAAUUCUACUUCCCUAGGCAGCAGUGGAAUAGAUUAAAGAUUUCAGAUCUUGUCUCCCUAAGCAGUAGUGGGGCAGAUCAAAGAUGGUGAAUUUUACCUCCCUGUGGUUACAGUGGAGUACAUUGAAGCUAGUAAUUCUAUCUCCCUGGGCAGCAGUGGAAUAGAUUGAAGAUUUCAGAUCUUACCUCCCUAAGCAGUAGUGGAGCAGAUCAAGGAUGGCGGAUUUUACCUCCCUGAGGUUGCAUUGGAGUACAUUGAAGCCAGUAAUUCUACUUCCCUGGGCAGCAGUGGAAUAGAUUAAAGAUUUCAGAUCUUGUCUCCCUAAGCAGUAGUGGGGCAGAUCAAAGAUGGUGAAUUUUACCUCCCUGUGGAUACAGUGGAGUACAUUGAAGCCAGUAAUUCUACUUCCCUGGGCAGCAGUGGAAUAGAUUAAAGAUUGCAGAUCUUAUCUCCUUGAAGUUGCAGUGGAGCAGAUUAAAUAUAGUAAAUUUUGUUCUUUUGAAAAGUUACAACGUACGAAUCCUAUCUCCCUGACGUUGCAGUGGAGUGGAUCGAAGCACGGGUUCCUAUACCUCUGAAAAUGCAGUAGGAAGGAAUGAUGCUACCUGGAGAAAUGAAGCAUUGAAGAAGUUGAAGCUUAGUAAGACCGGGCACAAUUGGGCUUUUCAGUCUUUGCUCUGUUCCCGUUACACGAUAACGAGCAAAGAGGGGCAGCUGUACAAGCCCAAAUAUGCCCGGGCCCAAGAAAAUAAAUAGCCCCAAACACGCCCAACCCACUAAACCUGGCCCAAACAAAAAACAAAAUAACAGAAACCCUAAGAGCCUAUUUGCUUCAGCACUGCCGCAGCUCACCCUCGCACACCACCGCGAAUCUCGCGCCACGACCCUCCCCAACGUGCACCGCUCCAUGCGCUAGCAAUACCUGCAGCAACAAACGCAAAACAAAACAGCAAAAAAAAUGGAACAAAAACAACAAUAUGCCAACGAAAAAUAGGAGAUUUCUUUGGAUUUGGGUUCAUUUUUUCCCAUUUUCAGCUAUUUAAAGCCGUUAUCGAAUCUGUAAAAAGGAGGGGGAUUACAGUUUAGAUACGAAAAAUAGAGAGAAAAUAGAGAUUUACUUAUUGAUUUCCGAAUACAAAAGGUGGUUUUUUUGGAGUUUUUUUUAUUCCUAGUUUCGUUUUGUUUUCUUUUUUCUCUUUUAGUUUUUUAUUUUAUUUUAUUUUUCAUUUAAAAUAAAGAAAGGAAAAGACUUACCUGGUCGCCGGAGUUGUCGAGCCGGUGUCUUCUCCGACGAAAUCGGGGCAUGGGGCACUAGGCUCGAACGGCGGCGCAAGGAGGGAGGGGGUUAAAAAAACCCCUAGCAGACCACUGUUCUUUAA